RNAcentral lists this ribosomal RNA (493 nucleotides) under uncultured bacterium. Its description in RNAcentral is "partial 16S ribosomal RNA". It matches the Rfam family "Bacterial small subunit ribosomal RNA", at positions 29 to 507 of the family's 1533-position model. The record is from RNAcentral.
ACGAACGCUGGCGGCGUGCUUAACACAUGCAAGUCGAACGGAAAGGCCUGCUUUCCCUUGUGGAUUGCGGGUACUCGAGUGGCGAACGGGUGAGUAACACGUGAGUGAUCUGCCCCCAACUUGGGUAUAAGCCUGGGAAACUGGGUCUAAUUCCCGAUAGGACUGCAGGGUGGUGCCUGUGGUGGAAAACGAUUUUCUAGUGGUUGGGGAUGAGCUCGCGGCCUAUCAGCUUGUUGGUGGGGUAAUGGCCUACCAAGGCGGCGACGGGUAGCCGGCCUGAGAGAGUGGACGGCCACAUUGGGACUGAGAUACGGCCAAGACUCCUACGGGAGGCAGCAGUGGGGAAUAUUGCACAAUGGGCGGAAGCCUGAUGCAGCGACGCCGCGUGGGGGAUGACGGCCUUCGGGUUGUAAACUCCUUUCGACCGCGAGGAAGCCACCUGGUUGGAAGGGUGGUGACGGUAGUGGUAGAAGAAGCACCGGCUAACUACGUG